This is a long non-coding RNA of Sciurus carolinensis (gray squirrel), 1075 nucleotides long. RefSeq lists it as uncharacterized. The record is from RefSeq and is a predicted model, not a curated record. Lineage: Eukaryota; Metazoa; Chordata; Mammalia; Rodentia; Sciuridae. The transcript has 3 exons.
GCUGCCCAGCUCCCAUCAAAUGCCCAGCUCUCAUCGGAUGCCCUGCUCAACCUGGAGCUUGUCUGCUCGCCAAUUAGCCUCAGAUAAAAUCGGAACCUGGAGGAUGCAGCCCAGGUUUGGACAGCCAUGCCAUCGGCGCCUGUGCAGGAAACACACGUUUCCCGGAAAGUCCCGGCGGUGAGCGUGGCACUCGCACGUGCUCCUUGCCCUUGGCAAGGGUUAAGCCUGCGACCUUCUCCUUGGAGCAAGGCUGCUGGGUCUCCAGCACCUGGAGUCUGCGGGGUGGAGGGUAGCGCCCGUGGCCCAGUGACUCGGUGUUCAUUCUCAGCUGCUCCGGGUGUGGAACGCCCUCCGUAGUUAGUAUUGAUCACCUUGGUCUCCAAGGCCUGCACUCGGAAAAUAAAACCACAGCUCCUCCAGGCAGAUUCUACCCCCAGGUCACUUCUUGAAAGAUCGUUUUAACUACCUGGUUUUGACUUGAUGUUGAGUCUUGACUGUUUAUUUUUUUCUGUUCUGAGUGGUAAACUGUUUCAAGGAGGAGUCCUGCCACAGGGGACGUCAGCCCACCAGUGAAGCCAGAGGCUCUGUUCUGGGUGCCGGCAAUGAAGCUGAGUCGUCAAGACUCUGGGUCACAGGACGUGGCUGUCAUUGGUUAAGGCGUCUUGACCAUUCACUCCGGACCAGGAAGCAGACACACACCCCUGGAGAGGAGGCUAGUCAAACGCCACGCUUCUGAGAGAGCAGUCAGACUUCCACAUCCCGCCCGAGCUCGUGUUUCACAUCAGCACCCCAAAACCACAGAGCAACAAGCAGAGGGCCUGAGGAUCCAGAGCUGACAGUCACAAAGCGUGAGGUAGUGAAGAGACAGACACAAGACGAAGGCAGAGAUGCCAGCUUCACCCUGCCUCCAGUUCCCACUGGGCAUCUGCCGGCUGAAGUGAAGAGCUACUGUUGUGGUUUAGACACAAGGUGUCCCCCAAAAGCGUAUGUGCGGGCCCUGCAAGAGGGCUUAGUGGUGAGAUGAUCGGUUAUGAGAGCCUUAACCCAACCAGCGCAUCCAUCUCCUGAUGGGGAU